UACGGAAGGCAGCAGUGGGGAAUAUUGGACAAUGGGCGAAAGCCUGAUCCAGCAAUGCCGCGUGAGUGAUGAAGGCCUUAGGGUUGUAAAGCUCUUUUACCCGGGAUGAUAAUGACAGUACCGGGAGAAUAAGCUCCGGCUAACUCCGUGCCAGCAGCCGCGGUAAUACGGAGGGAGCUAGCGUUAUUCGGAAUUACUGGGCGUAAAGCGCACGUAGGCGGCUUUGUAAGUAAGAGGUGAAAGCCCAGAGCUCAACUCUGGAAUUGCCUUUUUAGACUGCAUCGCUUGAAUCAUGGAGAGGUCAGUGGAAUUCCGAGUGUAGAGGUGAAAUUCGUAGAUAUUCGGAAGAACACCAGUGGCGAAGGCGGCUGACUGGACAUGUAUUGACGCUGAGGUGCGAAAGCGUGGGGAGCAAACAGGGAUUAGAUAC
RNAcentral lists this ribosomal RNA (430 nucleotides) under uncultured bacterium. RNAcentral describes it as "bacterial SSU rRNA". It matches the Rfam family "Bacterial small subunit ribosomal RNA", at positions 340 to 785 of the family's 1533-position model. The record is from RNAcentral.